RNAcentral lists this ribosomal RNA (455 nucleotides) under Ohridohoratia polinskii. RNAcentral's name for it is "partial 16S ribosomal RNA". It matches the Rfam family "Bacterial large subunit ribosomal RNA", at positions 1839 to 2593 of the family's 2925-position model. RNAcentral also lists the same sequence under 1 other name. The record is from RNAcentral. Lineage: Eukaryota; Metazoa; Mollusca; Gastropoda; Littorinimorpha; Hydrobiidae.
AUUAACAUAAAGAGUCGAACCUGCCCAAUGAUAUUUUUAAAUGGCCGCGGUACUCUGACCGUGCAAAGGUAGCAUAAUCAUUUGCCUUAUAAUUGAAGGCUAGUAUGAACGGUUUGACAAGAGUAGCACUGUCUCUACUAAAUUUUAUAGAAUUUGGUUUUUAGGUGAAGAAACCUAAAUAAAAUUGAAAGACAAGAAGACCCUAUCGAGCUUUAAAAAAUUUUUCUUAAAAAUUUUAGUUGGGGCGACUAAGGAACAAUAAAAGCUUCUUUUUUAUAUAUAAACUUAUAUGUUUUGAUCCAAAAAAAUGAUUAAUAGAAUUAGUUACCGUAGGGAUAACAGCAUAAUCUUUUUUGAGAGUUCUUAUCGAAAAAAAGGUUUGUGACCUCGAUGUUGGACUAGGAUAUCCUAAAGGUGUAGAAGCCUUUAAAGGUUGGUCUGUUCGACCAUUAACA